This 109-nucleotide ribosomal RNA is filed under the name Octodon degus (degu). The record is from RNAcentral. Lineage: Eukaryota; Metazoa; Chordata; Mammalia; Rodentia; Octodontidae.
GCCUAUGGCCGUACCUCCCAGAAAACACCUAAUAUUAUCUGAUCUCUGAAGCUAAACAGUAUUAGGCCUAGUUAGUACUAGGAUGGGAGAAAAAAAAAACCUGCAGGCC